UACCAGCUCUUCAAGUGGUCGGGAUAAUUAUUGGGCUUAAAGUGUCCGUAGCCGGUUUAGUAAGUUCCUGGUAAAAUCGGGUAGCUUAACUAUCUAUAUGCUAGGAAUACUGCUAUACUAGAGGGCGGGAGAGGUCUGAGGUACUACAGGGGUAUGGGUGAAAUCUUAUAAUCCUUGUAGGACCACCAGUGGCGAAGGCGUCAGACUGGAACGCGCCUGACGGUGAGGGACGAAAGCCAGGGGAGCGAACCGGAUUAGAUACCCGGGUAGUCCUGGCUGUAAACGAUGCAUACUAGGUGAUGGCACGGCCAUGAGCCGUGUCAGUGCCGUAGGGAACCGUUAAGUGUGCCGCCUGGGAAGUACGGUCGCAAGGCUAAAACUUAAGGAAUUGGCGGGGGAGCACCACAAGGGGUGAAGCCUGCGGUUC
Molecule: ribosomal RNA, 427 nt
Filed under: uncultured archaeon
Lineage: Archaea
Description: bacterial SSU rRNA
Rfam family: Archaeal small subunit ribosomal RNA
Source: RNAcentral